AGCGAACGCUGGCGGCAGGCCUAAUACAUGCAAGUCGAGCGCACCUUCGGGUGAGCGGCGGACGGGUGAGUAACGCGUGGGAAUGUGCCCUUUGGUACGGAACAACUGAGGGAAACUUCAGCUAAUACCGUAUGUGCCCUUCGGGGAAAGAUUUAUCGCCAUUGGAGCAGCCCGCGUUGGAUUAGGUAGUUGGUGAGGUAAAGGCUCACCAAGCCGACGAUCCAUAGCUGGUCUGAGAGGAUGAUCAGCCACACUGGGACUGAGACACGGCCCAGACUCCUACGGGAGGCAGCAGUAGGGAAUCUUGCGCAAUGGGCGAAAGCCUGACGCAGCCAUGCCGCGUGAAUGAUGAAGUCUUAGGAUUGUAAAAUUCUUUCACCGGGGAAGAUAAUGACGGUACCCGGAGAAGAAGCCCCGCUAACUUCGUGCCAGCCGCCGCAGUAAG
Molecule: ribosomal RNA, 445 nt
Filed under: uncultured bacterium
Lineage: Bacteria
Description: bacterial SSU rRNA
Rfam family: Bacterial small subunit ribosomal RNA
Source: RNAcentral